AUUCUUGUAGUUGAAGUACAAUGGCAGUUUUUCAUACUGUUGGUCUAGGUUGAAGUCCUGGUAGGAAUA
RNAcentral lists this transfer RNA (69 nucleotides) under Kaloula sp. Leyte-Samar. RNAcentral describes it as "tRNA-Glu". It matches the Rfam family "tRNA". From Rfam's summary of the family: Transfer RNA (tRNA) molecules are approximately 80 nucleotides in length. Their secondary structure includes four short double-helical elements and three loops (D, anti-codon, and T loops). The record is from RNAcentral. Lineage: Eukaryota; Metazoa; Chordata; Amphibia; Anura; Microhylidae.